Molecule: long non-coding RNA, 397 nt
Organism: Lycium barbarum (goji berry)
Lineage: Eukaryota; Viridiplantae; Streptophyta; Magnoliopsida; Solanales; Solanaceae
Exons: 2
Source: RefSeq, a predicted model, not a curated record
AAUGCUAUUAUUUAGUCACCUGCUGUUAGUAACUCUGGGGGUCUGAUGGUAAUGUGGAAAGAUGAUCUUUUAAAAGUUGAUGAGAUCACCAUUACAAAUCAGGGAAUCCAUGCUCUAGUUAAGGUUGUUCAUGCACAAGCUGGGCCGUCCGGAACUAAAACAUAUAUACCGUGAGCAGAAUAGGGUGGCAGACUUAUUAGCUAAAGAAGGUGCUAAACAAAAGCUUUUUGGUGCCGUAAGGUCCAUGUAGUUUCUCCUUUUUUAGUGAAUAAGGCUUUUUGGGAUGACAAAACAAGAACUGUUUUUGAUAGAUAUGUAAAUUUUGAUGAUGUUCAAACAAUGGCGCAUCUGCCAGGGCAUGUAGGAUCCUUGUAGUGUGUGUGUUUGUGUGUGUAUA